Molecule: ribosomal RNA, 253 nt
Filed under: uncultured bacterium
Lineage: Bacteria
Description: partial 16S ribosomal RNA
Rfam family: Bacterial small subunit ribosomal RNA
Source: RNAcentral
UACGAAGGGUGCAAGCGUUAUUCGGAAUGAUUGGGCGUAAAGGGUGCGCAGACGGUCGGUUAAGUCAACUGUAAAAUCUCCCAGCCUAACUGGGAAUCCGCAGUAGAAACUGAUUGACUAGAGGGUGGAAGAGAGAAGUGGAAUUCUCGGAGUAGCGGUAAAAUGCGUAGAUCUCGAGAGGAACACCGAUGGCGAAGGCAGCUUCUUGGUCCAUUUCUGACGUUCAAGCACGAAAGCGUGGGGAGCAAACAGG